Long non-coding RNA from Aedes albopictus (Asian tiger mosquito), 13811 nucleotides. RefSeq lists it as uncharacterized. The transcript has 2 exons. NCBI's taxonomy places the organism in Eukaryota, Metazoa, Arthropoda, Insecta, Diptera, Culicidae. The record is from RefSeq and is a predicted model, not a curated record.
AGUGGACUGAGGUCCGUCUUGUUUCGCGAUUCUGCUCAGUUUGUGAGUUAUUUCUGUGACUACGAAAAAAGCGCGCUGCGCUUUUUUCGUACGGCUGGUUUUGUACGUUUCUUCGGCGAAGCAAUCGCCGAAUUGGAGAUCCGUUGGCGCAGCGAAUCGCCAUUUUCCGUCCGUGAGCCCGUGUGCCCAGCAAAGGCCCGCCUCGAGUAGGUAGCCAAUCGGAGGCGCGAGUGUAAUCGCUAGACUAUCAGCGAAUUCUCCCGUCGGUCGCCAAUUGCCGAAGGUAAGGUCCGAUACGUUAUUCUCCGUGGACCAGAGAACGAGAGCCGGUUCGCGUGUCGCGUGUCGCAAAUUGCACGCCGUGAACCAGAUCCGAUUCGAGAGAAUAGGAGGCGUAACAUUCCCCGCUCGGCCUAGUAGGAAUCUAAGUACGCGAAGCCGGGUCGUUGGGCUCUGUUGCGUCCCAAUUGUCUGAUGAGGGUCGUCCCGGGAAUAAACGGCAUCCGCCGUACGCUCUCGUUUAUGUGAAACCGGAAGCUUCCGUCCAGCCGCCACUCCCUCCGCACCGUUCUUCGGCCAUAUGCACACGGGUCCAGUAGUCGUCGCCGGACACAACGAUGGUCGCCUACAAACUGUCGUCAUCACCGAGGACUGCCGUCUACUUCGAGUUCGUCAAGUAAAAACCUGCGCAGGUACGUCGUUAUUUUGUUCAUGGCCAUGUAACAUUUCCGUUCCGUACAUUUUUGUAAUACGUCCAACCCGAAUGAAUGCUUGUGUUUAAGUUAAUGAAUUUUAAGAAAUUGAAUUUUAUGUUUUUUUUCCAUAUUACGUUUGACUGACUUGAAUAAAAUCACUCCUUCUGUAAUUAUAUAUGUUUUUUUCCGUUUGAUUGUUUUUAACUUCAGUUUUCCCUAAGUUUUUAGCAGCUUUUUGGUGCAGUUUGAGAUUGGGUUUUCGUUUAUAAGAAAUUCUGCCGAUUUUCCGCGAGCCGUUCGAAAUCCUCUGAGAAACGAGUCUCUAUUACAGUCGGGCAUACUUCAACACGACCGGUGGCCUCUCUCUGAGAGUGGCGCUUAAGCCACCGCGCUUAUAAAACCCUCGAGCUAAUUCGGCGAACGGUUACAAAUUAAUCAUCUGUUGUUCAACCAUUAAUCAAAUAAUUUUUAACAGCUGACACAAGCAUGGUUUUUGUGAAGUCCACAUCGCUUCUUCAGCCUCAAUGCAGACUUAGUUCAACUUAUGUUCUUGACUAUUCAGUAACAACAAGUAAUGCUCUUGUUUUCGUGGAUUUGUAUACAAUUGUGUGUGGUUUAGAUGCUAAGGUGAGUGACUAAAUAUAAUUCAGGAGGUUCGAGUUCAAUGCCCAGUUUUCCCACAAAUUAAUUUAUGCAUUCCUAAACAUCUCUUCUGGAAACAGACGCAGCAAAUGGUAAAAAUAGGCUCAGAAAAGUGUUUUUAUUUUAUUUUUACACAAUUCAUUCAAUUAAUAAUGAUUUAGCGCAUAUUAAGCCCUAAAUCAGCCUUCCAAUGAACCUCAAAUCAGCUAAAGGUUGAAUAAAAUUACCAAAAUUAGAUGUUUAGGAGCUGAAUAAAGGAUUGUACCUCUUGUGCUCAGCUUUUGUUCAAAUGGAGGCUGAUUUAAAAUGGUUGGAGAAACGUUUGUACAGCAUCAAAUUGUUACCUGGGCUCAUAGUUCUUCAUACGAUUCAUUUUACUUCUUCAAAGAAAAAUCGCUUGGGGUUACCCCUUGAUCCCUAGAUAUUCCUAUAUAUAUAAUAAGUCAUAAAUGACUUAUAUACAAAACUUCACGAGGAAUCAGACGUCCGAAGACCGUAAAGCGAUGCGACGUUCGUGGAAAAAUCUAUUAGGCUUUUACCCGAUCGAUAACACGACCAGAUUUUAUUAUUUGUUGAUAUUCCUUACAUGUAAACCCUCCUUUGGCAUUAGCGCCGUUUUUUUUUCUGGAAGAAUUCGUUUGAGAAUUCCUCUGAGAAUUCCUCCAGGAUUGCCUCCGGGAAUCCCUUUUAAAAAUCCUGUGGAAAUUCCUUGGGAGUUUCUCCAGUAAUUUCUCUGAGAAUUCCUUUGGAAAAAAUACUUUGAGUUUUCCUCCGGGAACUCCUUCCAGCAUUUCUCUGCGAAUACCUCUGGGAAUUUCUCCAGAAAUUAUUCUAAGAAUUCCUCCAGAAAUUAUCAUGGAAAAUCCUCCAGGAAUUUCUCUGGGAAAUCCUCCAGAAAUUCCUCUGAAAAUUUCUUAUGAAAUACCUCCAGAGAUUCAUCUGGGAAUUACUCUGGGAAUUCCUCCAGGAAUUCUUUCAGAAAUUUCCCUGAAAAUGCCUCCUGGAAUUCCUCUAGGAAUACCUCCAAUAACUUCUCUGGGAAUUCCUCUUGGUUUUUCUCUGGAAAUUCAUACAAUUUUUUUCUGGAAGUUAACUAAGUAAUAACUUUGGAAAUUCAUUCAGGAACUCCUCUGGGAAUUCUUCCAGGUGUUUCUCUGUUUAUUCCUCUGGAAAUUCCUGUGGUAAACCUUCCAGGAACUUCUAUCGUAAUUCCUUGAGGAACUCCUUCAGAAAUUCUUGUGCAAAUUCCUUCAGGAAUUUGAAAGAUUUUUCUGAGAAUUCCUCCUGGAAUUUUUCUGGGAUUCCUCCAGCAUUCCUUUGGAAAUUUCUCUAGAAUUUCCUCCGUGAAUUCGGUUAGACGGUUAGGGAUUUCUUCCUGAAAACCUCAGGAGAUUCCUACAGUAAUUCCUCCAGGAAUUCCUCGCGGAAUUUAUAUUCAAAUUCCUCCAGGAAUUUCUCAAGGGAUUCUCCAAUGAAUUCCUCUGAAAAUUCCUCCAGGAGUUCCCCCGUGAGUUCCUCCAGGAAUUCUGCUGUGCUUUUCUCUGGAAAUUUCUCUAGGAAUUCUUCUGGGAAUUCCUUCUGGAAUGACCCUGAGAGUUCCUCCGUAAUACCACUCGGCAUUUCUCCAGAAAUUCCUCUGGGAAUUCCACGAGGAACUCCUUUGAAAAUUCCUCCUGGAGCUCCUCUGGGAAUCCCUCCAGGAACUUUUCUGGGAAUUUCUUCGGAAAUUCUUUUGGGAUUUUCUGCAGAAAUUCCUCUGAGGAUUGCUUCAGAACUUUUUCUAGAAUUUCUUCUGGAUUUCUACUGGAAAUUCCUCCAGGAAUUUAUCUGGAAAUUUCUGCAGGAUUUUCUCUGGCAAUUCCUCCAGAAAAUUCUCUGGAUAUUCCUCCAGAAAACUCUGUGGGAAUUCCUCCAAGAAUUCCUCUAACAAUUCCUCUGGAUGAAUUUCUUUGAGAAUUCUGUCGGGAAUACCUCCGGAAAUGCCUUCAGGAAUCCCUUCGGGAAUUCCAUAAGCAAUUCCUCCGGGAAUUUCUCCGGAAAUUUCUCUGGGAAUUUCUCCGGGAAAUUUUCUUCCAAGAAUUCCUCCGGGAAUUCGUCCUAGAAUUCCUCCGGGAAUUCCUCCAGAAAUUCCUUCAGAAAUUUCUCUAGAAAUUGCUUCAGGAAUCCCUCCAGGAAUUUGUCCAGAAAUUCCUCCAGGAAUUUGUCCAGAAAUACCUCCAGGAAUUUCUCUGGAAAUUCCUCUAGGAAUUUCUCAGGAAAUACCUGUAGGAAUGUCUCUGGGAUUUUUUCAAGAAAUUUCUCCAGGAAUUCCUUUAUGAAUUGUUUUAGAAAUUUCUUUGGGAAUUUCUCUAGGUAUCCCUCCCGUAAUCCUUUUGGGAAUUCCUGAGGGAAUUUCUUCAAGUAUUUCUUCAGAAAUUUAUCCAGGAAUUCCUCCAGGAAUAAAACUGGAAAUUCCUCCAGAAAACUCUCUGGAUAUUCCUCCAGAAAACUCUGUGGGAAUUCCUCCAAGAAUUCCUUUAACAAUUUCUAUGGACGAAUUUCUUUGAGAAUUAUAUCGGGAGUACUUCCGUGAAUUCCAUAAGCAAUUCCUCUGGAAAUUCCAUAAACAAUUAUUCCGGAAAUUUCUCCGGAAAUUCCACCGGGAAUUCCUUUGGAUUUUUUUCGGGAAUUCCUCCGGGAAUUUCUCCGGGAAUUUCUCCGGGAAUUUUCUGGGAAUUUCUCCGGGAACUUCUCCUGGAAUUUUUCCGAGAAUCUCUCCGGGAAUUUCUCUGGGAUUUUCUCCUGAAGUUUCUCCGAAUAUUAUUUUCACCGGAAAAUAUUUUCUCCGGAAUUUUUUUUCCAAGAAUUCGUCCUGGAAUUCCUGCGGGAAUUCCUCCGGAAAUUUAUCCAGAAAUUCCUUCAGAAAUUUCUCUAAAAAUGCUUCAGUAAUUCCUUCAGGAAUUUCUCUAGUAAUUCCUCCAGGAAUUUCUCUAGAAAUUCCUCCAGGAAUUUCUCUAGAAAUUCCUCCAGGAAUGCCUAUGGGGUUUUUUCAAGAAAUUUCUCCAGAAAUUCCUCUGUGAUUUUUUCUAGAAAUUUCUCUGGGAAUUUCUCCAGGUAUUCCUCCCGUAAUUCUUCUGGGAGUUCCUCCCGGCAUUCUUGAGGGAAUUUUUUAAAGAAUUCCUCUAGAAAUUUUUCCAGGAAUUCCUCUACAAAAUUGUCCUAGCUCAACCUCAACUGAAACAACUCACCAAUCGACAGAAAUUUCCCCAAUGUAUGCGAAGUAAAUAACGGGAAAAGCGGAUUUUCCACCGAGAUUUUUCAACUGACUGACGAUCGGAGCCCGGCGAGUGUAGCGGCCUUGGCAAAGGCAUCGUUAACAUUUCCAGGAAGGAUAUUGAAUUGUACUUUCUACUUUAUUUUUUUAUUUUUUGCUCCAUACCAAACAGUUGGAGAUAUGCAAACUCUCAAACUCUCUGUGUCUUCUCUCUCGGUCUCUGUCUCUAUAUCUGUCUCUGAAUGGGGGGCAAGAUGGAUGAUGACACAAAACAACAAAAGUCACCCGCCGCGGAACGACCGAACGAACGAACGGGGUGAGUGCUCUUGAGUAGCUGGAAACACAUCUCGAGAGGCUUUUCUGAGUAUUUCGAACUGUGGCGGCAGGGUAGCUACUUGACAUUUUUUUUUGUUGCUUUCUGUUGGUCCUAUUUGAUGGGGCUGUUUUGUGUGAAAACGGAUGCAGUGGCAAAGAGCGUGUGGCAGGGAAUUAUGUUGGAACAAUGCUUCUGCUGCUGCUACUGCUGUUGCGGACUGAAUGUUGUCACUUGCAACUUUUUCUAUGGGUUUCAUCAUUGGCUCACAAAGUGGGUGGAAGGCUCUCUGCUGGGUGAAUGACAUUGUUUUGCUGGUUUGUGAUGUGUUUUACAAAGUUGUGUGGCGUAUUGUAAAAUUUCUAGUUACUGGGGAAGGGAAAAGUUUUGUUUUACAACUGGUAGGCAACAAUAACCUCAAUUUGAGGGAUAAUACUGUUGGUAUCUGUGUUGCAGUGGUACAAGGGAUAGUAGAUAAUGAAUGAACUUGGCUGGCAAAUGUUUACAUACUAGGCAUUCUAUAGUUUGAUGAAAAGUAGUUGAUUCGAUAGUAUCCCAGGAGCAAUUCCUGAGGUAGUCUCUAGAGGAAUCCUUGUUGAAAAUUCUAGAGAACUCUGGAAGAAUUUAUGAAGGAAUCCUUGGAGAAAUAUUUGAAGGAUUUUUUGGAGUAAUUCCUGGAGCAAUCCAUAGAGCAAACCCAGGAGAAAAUUCCGGAGGAGUUCCUCAAAAACCCCUGGAGCCUUGCCUUGUGCCGUUUCUGGAGUUCUUUGGAGUGAUUCCUGGAUAUCCCUAGAGAGAUUCCUGAAGCAAUUUCUGAAGGAAUCUCUGGAAAAUUCCUGUAGGAACUCCAGGAAGUUUUCCUGAAAAAAGUCACGGAAUCAAUUUCUAUAGGAAUCACUGGAAUCCUUGGAGUAAUUCUGGAGUAAUUCCUCUGCAGGAAUAUAAUAAUAUAGAAAUAUAGAAACACCUCAAGAAAUGAUUAGAGCGAGUCCAAACUUCAAGCUUUAAUAAAUAAUCCAUGAAUCCAUUUCCAAACAAAUUGCCCCUGCAGCUGGCGAUCUCGAUUAGCAAGCCCGCCUCCUACUCAAAUGACCAAAUUGAGAAAUCAAAAAGAAUGCCAUUCAAACAAGCCAAAAGAAAACAGGAUCCCAUAUUCUCCAAAUUCGAAUCCGCUUCCGAAUUCACAAUCAUCGACUGUGCAGGGGGAGGUGGCCUUCUCUGCCCUGAUCGUCGUCAUCGUCCUCCAUUCUCACAUCAAGAUUUAAUACGAUUUCGACUGAUUGUGCGAUGUUUAUGCUGCUGCUGCUGCUGCUAUUGCCCCGGGGCCCCAGAUGACGCGCUCUCUGCAACAAUCGGGAAGGAAGACUCGGACGACGACGACAAUGAUGCUGAUGAUGAUUACGCCCGGUCAAGCGCAGGGAAGCGUUCGCAAUCUCAUAAAGGAAUCGCAGAAUCGGAAAACAUGCUUCUGCUGCUGCCCUCCUCCGAACAACUGACCGACCGGUUGGUUGGUCGGUCAGAGCCCAGAGCUAGUCUGCUGAUCUGCUGCCCGGGGAAAAAAUCGAAAAGAAUGAGAUAAAAAACCGGCAGCCCAAUUCCCAAGGGGUGGGAAAAUUGCUUUCAUCCGAUAAGCAUCAGUCGACUGACCCGACUCGACUCGGAUCGACCCCCGCCGUAAGAGAAUGGGUGGGAUUGCAAGGGAUGAUCGAGAGGCGAAAAAAGGGUCAAAAUAUGUUUUCAUUGUCCUAUCGAUGAGUGUGUGAGCAGAGAAAGAGAGUGUGUGCUGAUGCGCCACCCGAUGCUGACCCUCGCCCAGUUAUAGCUGUUUAAAUUGUUUGAAAUUUAAUUCUUCGGGAUGUAAUUUUCGGGAUUGGGCCCGUCCGGCAGUGAACGAUUGAGCCGAUUUUGGUUGGCAAAGGGGAUUAUCGGUUUCGGGUAAUGAGCGGAAAUGCCUGAGUGGAUUGAUCGAGUGAAUGGUGUCACUGGAUGAGGCCUUGUGGUCGAUUUUCAUUAAAUGCACCCCUUGCAUCGAAUAGCAGUUGACACUAGGGCUGGACUCUUGACUCUUAGUCAUUCUUUUCCACUGGACCAUGGUUGUACAAAUUAUGUUUUACCUGAGCAUUUCAACAGUUAUUACCAUCGUUGCUUCAAUCAAUCAGUAAGCUUCACAGAUAAGUUGUUUUUGUCCAGGAUUUUUCGUAGUUUCUAGCGAUAGUGUAGUAUACCGCCUUGAAAUCAUUGAACUGAUGAUUUGUAGGAACCUGCUAUACACGGAAUUUAUGGAAAAUUUGUCAUAAGGUGAAAAUCUGGUCUGUUGACGACCGGCCGUCGAUGAAACCAGCUUGAUAAUUUUUCGCGAAGUCAUUUGUUUAAGAUCACAGAAAACAGAAGCAGAAGAUGAUCUGCGAUAGCACUUUGUAGGCGCCAUUCAGUUGAUCAAUUGGAAGUUUUUCUAAAUGGUUGCCGUUCUUGUUGAUAGGCUGAGUAGCUCAUCCUCCCACUGUUGGUGUUCGUUUUCCUAGAUUCUGACUGUCACCAGGGCUGACAGAUGACCAACUUCUCUUGGCCCUUCCUGAUGAGUUCGCCAUCCAUACCAUUUGCUUGCUUGGUUUGGAGCUAGAAAUUAGCAUCUUUAAAUUCUCUCAAUGUGAGAGUUGGAUCAUUCCCGUUCUCUACUGUACUGUCGUAGUUGGUUACUUCGCUGCCUUGAUCUUGCAUUCCUACUUUAUGAAUUUCUUUAUUACUUGAUUAAUUUAUCAGACAAUUUCUCUAGGAAUUCCUUUAGAAAACCCUUCAGGAAUUCUUUCCAAAAUUCUUCGAAGGAAUUUUCCGAAAACUUUCCAAAACUUACAUCAGAAUUUAAUUUAAUAAUUCCUUCGGAAAAUUUUGGAAAGCAAUCGGUUUAGAAAUUCCGGGAAAUUCAUUAAUUUUUUUAGAAAGUUUUUAAAUUCGACCAGGGAUCGACUAAAGGAAAUUUUUCAAAACUUUCACUAAGAAUUAUUUAGGAAAAUCUUGCAUGAUUUUUUUCAGAAGCUUCCCUUUAUUUUUUCCGAAAAUUCAUUGUUUUAAAUUGUUUCAAAAAAUGGUACACUUGAAAUGUUUUCUAUAAGGAUUGCUGGAAAAAUUCCUUAAGUGUAUCUUUUAGUAAUAUUACAAGUUAUUUCUCCAGAUUUUUUUUAAGAUUUCACUUGGAAACUUGCAAACUUAGAAUUUUCACCACGGAUUAGAGACACUCCUACAUGAUUUUUUUUCAGAAAUUUCUUCUGAAAGGCUUUUGGAAAGUUUUCCAGAGAUCUCUUCAGAAACAUGGAUUUCUUACGAAUCCUCACUUGGAUUUUUUUCCUCUGGUGAUGUUUUCUAAAAAAAAUCCUAAUUCCUCCAGGGAUUUCUUUAGAAGCUACGCAUGAAGAACAUCGUUAUCAUCAUGCAACUUCUUCCAGGGAUUAUAUUUUCAGAAAUUACGCUUGAUGUAAGGAUUACUGUAGAAAAUCCUCGAAAAUUUCUUACUGUUUUAUGUUUUUGAAUUUUCUUUUUUAGGAAAUACAUUCGAAAAUCUAUUCGACAAUUCCUUUCACGGAUCUUUUCAAAAAAUAUUUUAAACAUUCAAUCAACAAUUUAUUAAAUCCUUCGUAAAAUUUACUACAACAUCCUCUAACAAUUACCAACAGUUCCGUGGCGAACUCGCCUAGGGCGAAAAGCCACGUUAAUAAAAGCAAAAAAAAAUACCAACAGUUAUUUUAGAAAAUCCAGCAACGAUUACUUUAAGAAUUUCUCAAAGAAUUUCUCUAGGAACUCCUUCAGAAAAUCCUUUAAAGAGUGUUUCAAAAAUUAUUCGGAGGAAUUUUCAGGAAACCUUCCAAAAAUUACUUCAGAAAUUUAUCCAACAACUCCUUCAGAAAUUUCGCUACAAUUUUUUUUUUAAAUUCUCGCAUUUCAAGGACUUUUUCAAAAGGAUUCAUUCUUAAAUUAACUGCAGGAAUUGCUUUGGAAAUUCUGGAAUCCUUCCAGAAAUUUUUUAUUGUUUUUAGAAAAAUUUUAAAGUCUACCAGGGACUGUAGAAAAUCGUCUGAGGAUUUUUUCAAAAAAAUCACAAUGAAUUAUUUAAGAAAAUCCUAGGGCUGAAAAUCUCUAUAAUAAAGUAACAAUAAUAAUAAUAAUUUUUGAAAAUCUUGGGUGGAUUUGUUCAGAAGCUUUCGUGUAUUUUUUGCGAAAAUUCCUCUAAAUAUUCUGAAAGUCUCUUAAAUAAAGACAAAUCAAUCAAUCAAAUCAAUCUAAAUAUUCCUUGUUUUGAAUUGUUUCAAAAAUUCUACAUUUGGAAUGUGUUAUGUGGGCAUUGCUUGAGAAAUUCCACAAGUGUAUUUUUUUAGAAACGUAAGAAGUUUUAUCUCCAGAUUUUUUCUAAGAUUUCGCUAGGAAACUUACAACCGCAGAAUUUUCUCCAUUUCUGAAUUUAAGACAUUCCAGUAUGAUUUUUUUUUUUCAAAGAUUAUCCCAGAAAAGGUUAAAGGAUGUUAAUAGAGCUCUAUUUAGAAAUAUGAGUUUCUUGUGAAUUCUCUCUAGGAAUGUCUUUCUUCUGGUGAUGUUUUUUUUAAAAAUCUUUCUUAAUUUAUUCGGUGAUUAUUUCAAAAAUAACGAGUGAAGUGCAUCGUUAUAAGCAUGCAACUUCUUCCAGGGAUUUUUUUUUUCGGAAAUUUGUUUUAGGAAACUCACUAGAAUUGUCUCUUAUAAAUACCCAGAGAUUUUUUUUUUUGAAAUCCUGCACUGAUAACUUCAAAAGUUCUUCAAGGUUUCUGUAGAGAAUCGUUCAGGGAUUCUUUCCAAAAUCCUGAAUCGACCAAAGAUGCAAAUCUUUGAGAAAAUCCUUCUGAGAUUUCAUCAGAAAUUUUCCCAGUUUAUUUUUAGAAAACCUUCGAAAACAUUCAUUUGAAAAUGCCUACAGGAACUUCUUUGGGAUUUUUUUUUUCAAGAACUCCACCAGAAAUUACGACAACAAUUUCUUCACGGGUUAUUUCAAAACAACCCUGAACUAUACAUUAAGAAAUGAAUAUAGCCAUCGUUCAAGGAAUUUUUCAAAAACUCCACUAGGGAUUCCAUUAAUUUCACAAAAAAUUCCUUAAGAAAAUCUUGCAUUGAUUUCUUAAAAAACUACAUUUGAAAUGUUCACUAUAGGGAUUGCUUGCGAAAUUCGUCAAGUGUUUCUUUUAGAAAUGUUAUUUCUUCGGAUUUUUUUGAACUUGUAACCCAGAAUUUUAUCCAUGCAUUAAAAACAAUUCCGCAUGAUUUUUUUCCAGAAGCCUCCUAUUUCAGGAUGUUUCCAGAGAUCUUUUCAGAAAUAUGGAUUUCUCGUGAAUUCUCUCUGGGUAUUUUUUUUUUCUCUAGUGAUGUUUUUCUUUAAAAUAAAUCAUUCCUUACUCCUCCAGGGAUUCCUUCAGAAACUACGCGUGAAAUACCUGAUUGUCAUAAUUUAACUCCUUCCAUGUAUUUUUAUUUCUCAGAAAUUUUCCUACAAAAAAAAUUACUUGACAUUUCUUUUACAAUUACCUACCCAGAGAUUUUUUCCGAUUAUCGAGCAUUGAAAUUUUAGAAAUUAUCCAAGAUUCCCGUAGAAGACCAUUCAGGGAUUCUUUUCAAAAUUUUUCGAUGAUAUUUUAAGAAAACCUCCUGAAAAUUCCUUCGGAAAUUUAUCCAACGAUUUCUUUGGAAUUAUUUGCAAGGAUGUUUCCAGAAAUUGUUUGUAUUUCGUGGGCCAUUUCCAAAAAAAAAUCCAAGGAUUAACUCGGAAGUUUUCUUCAGGAGUUGCUUUGGAAAUUUAUUAAAAAAUUUCACUGGAGAUUUUUUGAAAAAAUGAUCAUAAUUUUUGUUUUAAGAAAAUCUUGAAAUUCGACCAGAGAUUCCUUCAGACAGUCCUCAGGAUAUUUAUUUAGGAAAUUCUGCUGAAAAUCUUUGAGAGCUCUACAGAGUUGCUCUAGAGAUUCCGCCAGAUUUUUUUUUUGUCGAGGAUUCCUCUAGAAAACUUUUACCACUCCAUGGAAUCCGAAAUAUCUUCUGGGAUUCUUUCGAAAAAUCUUUCCUUAAUUCAUUCCACAAAUCAGAAAUUCAAAAUUCCUUCGACAAUUUUCAAAAAUUUCUUUCGGAAAUUUGUCCAAGGAUUCCCAAAGAAAUGUCAUCAACUGCUCACUUAGACAAUUUUUAAUAAGUUCCUUUAAAAUAAACUCAUGAAUUCCUUAACGAACUCCUCCUGGAAUUCUUUUAGGGAAUCUUCCACGAAUCCCUUCAGAUACCACUCAAGGAAUUAAUUUAAAAAAUCAUCCAUUAUUCAGGAAUUCCUCAAACGAUUUCUUCCGAAAUCCGUACAGAGCUUCUUUAUGAAAUUCCUCCCGAUUUUUUUUCCAGAUUUACCAUGAAAAAAGUUCUUAUUCGGAAAUUGCUUAAAAAAGUUUUCCAGAGAUUUCUUCAGAAGCAUGGAUUCCUUGUGAUUUUUUCUAAGGUUUUUAUGCUUCUGGGGAUGACUUUUCAAAAAAAAAUCUUUCUAAGAUUCAUUUGGAAAAUUUUUCCAGCGAUUUCUUCAUGAAUUUCUUCAAGGACUAAUUCAAAAACGCUUCAAGAGGAUGCUUGAGAAAAUAUUCGAAGAAUUGUUUUGGAAACUCCUUUCACCACUUCUUCAAACAUUCCUCUAAAGGUUCCUUCAGAAAUUUAUUCAAGGAUUUCCUUAGGAAGCUUUCCAUAUAUUUCCUCGGCAAUUCUUUUAUGGAUUUCUACGCAAUGCCUGGACUCUAGAAGUUUUUCCAAAAAUAUGUCCAACAACAUCUUUAGGAAGUGUUUCAUGGAUUGCUUCUGAAGUAUUCAAGAAUGAUUCAAGUAAAUCUUGAAUAUAUUAUUCCAGGUAUUUCUCCAUGAAUUUCUUCCCAAAUGUCUCAGAUCGUUUUAGAAUUUCCUCUAGAGAUUCCACCAGUUUUUUUCUUUUUCAAGAAAACUUUUUUGAACUCCAUGGAUUUUUUUCAGAAAAAUCUUCAGUGAUGCUUUCGAAAAAUCCUACAUGAAUUCCUUCAGAAAACUUGAAAUUCAGCAUUCCAAUUUCCAAAAGUUACCUUCAUAAAUUCGUCCAAGAAUACCUAAAGAAAAUGAAAUGAAUUCUUUUUUUAAACGACUUUUUUUUACGCGAUUUUAUUUUGCACGACUUUUUUUACGCGAUUUUCUCGAAGUUACGCGACUUUUUUUUACGCGAUUUUGGUCAUUUGCGGAGGGCAAAUCGCGUAAAAAAAAUUUCCUUUGGAUUUUUUUUGCGCGAAUUCUCGAAGUUACGCGAACUUUUUUUACACGAUCUUUUUUUUGCGCGAACGCAUCCAUCGCGUAAAAACAGAAUUUAGUGUAUUCUGAAGAUUUUUUCAAAAAAACAUUCAGAAAACCUUUAAUGAGUCCUUAAAUAUAAAAUCAUGGAUUUCUUAACAAAUUUCUCCUGGAUUUUUUUUAGGGAAUCUAUCACAGAUUGCUUCAGAAAUUGCUAUAGCAGUUCCUUCAUAAAAUCUUCCAAAAUUCUAAAAUUCCUCAAGUAAUUUCUUCGGGAAUUCUUACAAAGCUUCCUCCUCCAGAGAUUCCUUCAACUUUUCAUUCAAACAAGUUCUUAUUGAGAAAUUUAUUUAGAAAGUAUUGGUCUCAUUCAUAAAUGUAUCCAGGGAUUCCUUUAGAGAUUCUUCAAAAAAUUUAAUAAUUUUAGUUAAUAAUUCUUUCCGUGAUUCUCCAGAGAUUCCUACGGAGAUCAUAUAGAUUUUUUAGUUCAGGUUCUCAAGUAGGUACCAAACCCGAUCAUUGUGACAGCCAUUUGGGAAUUCUAAUGAGCUUAUCUGUAACUUUCUCAAGAUGUACUGCCACCUGGAGUUUCAAAAGGAAUUUCUUCGGUUAUCUGAAGGAACUUUAAAAACUGUAUACCAUACGAGAAGGUGAUUUUAUCGGUCAUAUUAGGCCGUAAGUUAUAGAGAUUCACAAAACAGCAAUAAUUAUGUAAAACUAAAGAUAUUUGCCACUUCUUGUUCUUCUUUUUAAAGCUUUCAACUCAGCACAACAGAAGCAUCUUUUGCGUGAUAAAGGUUUACUGAGACUUAACCCUUUGGGAACGGAUGGGUCAUAUGCGUCCAGCCAAGAAAAUUGACCAUCACAAACGUGUUCUAGACCAGCGAGGUUGCAUCCAGAAAGGUGAAAAUUCCGUCUCCGAAGUGUUAAGUAAAGUAGCCAUUUAUCCAUCAAAGCCGACAAAUAAGGUUCACUGCGACAUUUCUCUGUUUAACACAGUACGGGCAAAAAAAUGUAGAGAUUGUGGUUUUCCCCCAUCUAUUUCUAGGCACGGUACGCAUAAAGCCGCUUGACACCAUGAAUUAGGGGUCGUCCAAUUGGUGAACCAGAUCAGGCAGUCCGUAGUGAUAUUCAUAGCCGGUUGAACAAAUUGCUACCGACACUACACGAUUAUCUAGGUUGAUCGGGAACAGAAAUCAAUAUUGAUGAUCAACUUCUUUCGAGUCCGAAUAUCCGGCAACAGCUAGAAUUAGCAGGUAAAGAAAGCCUUCAAUUAAUAAUUGUAGAAGUAUUCAAAGAACACUCAGCUGAAAUGAAACAGGUCAAGUUUCAGCAGGCAGGAAGAAUCAGAAAGAAAGAAGAAUAUUGUAAACAGGUUUUAAAGUAAUAUUGAAGAAAAUGUAACUCGAAAAAAAAGAAAUCAUUAGAUAAAAUCAAAAGUGUUCAUGAAUGUCUCUGGGCCAUUGUAGCUGCCGGAAACAGCCCAAUCGAAAUCUAUUUUUCGCGCAGUUUUACACAACAAUAGUGUUCCGUAAUUACAUUGCGGCUGAAUGAGUCCUUCUAAACGGAGAAUCCCCCCAAAAAAGAAUUUCAUUCAGAGCACACGGGCAUGGAAGCUUCG